CCCAGGGAGAACUCCAAUGGCGUCUGCCAGCGUCUGUGUCAGCACGCCCACACCAGGCCACAACAAUGGCCUCCGCCAAUGUCCCAGUCCCUGGAGAGGUCUCAUUUCUCACCGAGAUGCACUCAGAGCUUAGUGAGUGCACCAAUAGCAGUCAGAGACUACUAUCAGGUACAGAAUCACUUCACGGAUGUUAAUAUAUUUAUCAACUCAGUUUAUGAUAGUCCUGGAAAUUUCUUCAUAUCAAACAGUGCCCCAGUACAUGGUUGUAUAUCACAGUUGUAGAGUUGUAGCUCUUCUGUAUGGGAUGGCGCCUCAGCAUGGCUUGAUGAGCGGAGAAAAACAUUUAAACUGCAAAGAGUGAAACUAACAUGAGUAAAAGAGAACUGAAGCUCAAGAAGGUGGGGAGCCCUUUGCUUCUUCACAUGAGUGAAACUAUGCACUCUUGGAUGAAGUACUUUUCAAGGAGGAAGCAUCCUUAGCAGUUUUCCUUGGUGUUGGACAAUUCAAUACUUCUUUCAGAAGUAACUCCUGUCUUUCUUGGAGCUUGGCUUUGCACAACAAGUAUAUCUUCACUUAGAUCUUUGGAACAAUUAUUAUAAGCCUAAAUGACCCAUACUGAUGAUAUAUUUUAUAAAACAGCAGUUCUUCCUCCUGGUUCUGUGCUCUUAGGUAUAAAUUUACAUAAUUUUCGUACUGAUUGUAGCUGGAUGGUCCUAUAAAGAGGUCAUCGGGCCUGCUCUUUGCUUGUAAGCAAUUUGAGUUGCCAAGCCUCUAUUAGAACCCAUUUCUCUCAUUUUUCUGUAAAGUUUCAUAAUUGUAAAAUACUCGUCCAAAACUAAAGAUUAAAAAUGGAAAGUCUAACAACACUGUAGAAGUCAGAACAAUGAAU
Long non-coding RNA from Diceros bicornis minor, 889 nucleotides. RefSeq lists it as uncharacterized. Lineage: Eukaryota; Metazoa; Chordata; Mammalia; Perissodactyla; Rhinocerotidae. The transcript is spliced from 5 exons. The record is from RefSeq and is a predicted model, not a curated record.